AGUGAACGCUGGCGGUAGGCCUAACACAAGCAAGUCGAACGGCAGCACAGAGGAGCUUGCUCCUUGGGUGGCGAGUGGCGGACGGGUGAGGAAUACAUCGGAAUCUACUCCGUCGUGGGGGAUAACGUAGGGAAACUUACGCUAAUACCGCAUACGACCUACGGGUGAAAGCAGGGGACCUUCGGGCCUUGCGCGAUUGAAUGAGCCGAUGUCGGAUUAGCUAGUUGGCGGGGUAAAGGCCCACCAAGGCGACGAUCCGUAGCUGGUCUGAGAGGAUGAUCAGCCACACUGGAACUGAGACACGGUCCAGACUCCUACGGGAGGCAGCGGUGGGGAAUAUUGGACAAUGGGCGCAAGCCUGAUCCAGCCAUACCGCGUGGGUGAAGAAGGCCUUCGGGUUGUAAAGCCCUUUUGUUGGGAAAGAAAUCCAGCUGGCUAAUACCCGGUUGGGAUGACGGUACCCAAAGAAUAAGCACCGGCUAACUUCGUGCCAGCCGCCGCGGUAA
Molecule: ribosomal RNA, 506 nt
Filed under: uncultured bacterium
Lineage: Bacteria
Description: partial 16S ribosomal RNA
Rfam family: Bacterial small subunit ribosomal RNA
Source: RNAcentral